UACAGGGGGCGCGAGCGUUGCUCGGAAUCACUGGGCGUAAAGCGUACGCAGGCGGACUGUUAAGUCGGGUGUGAAAGCCCGGGGCUCAACCCCGGAAUUGCAUUCGAAACUGGCAGUCUUGAGUACGGAAGAGGGGAGUGGAAUUCCUGGUGUAGAGGUGAAAUUCGUAGAUAUCAGGAGGAACACCGGUGGCGAAAGCGGCUCCCUGGUCCGAUACUGACGCUCAUGUACGAAAGCGUGGGGAGCAAACAGG
RNAcentral lists this ribosomal RNA (253 nucleotides) under uncultured bacterium. RNAcentral describes it as "partial 16S ribosomal RNA". It matches the Rfam family "Bacterial small subunit ribosomal RNA", at positions 524 to 776 of the family's 1533-position model. The record is from RNAcentral.